RNAcentral lists this ribosomal RNA (479 nucleotides) under uncultured bacterium. RNAcentral describes it as "bacterial SSU rRNA". It matches the Rfam family "Bacterial small subunit ribosomal RNA", at positions 24 to 518 of the family's 1533-position model. The record is from RNAcentral.
UCAGGACGAACGGCUGGCGGCGUGCCUAACACAUGCAAGUCGAACGGACGAGGGGAGCUUGCUCCCCGAGUUAGUGGCGGACGGGUGAGUAACACGUGAGCAACCUGCCCUUCGGAGGGGGACAACAGUUGGAAACGACUGCUAAUACCGCAUGAUGUAUUUGGGAGGCAUCUCCCGGAUACCAAAGAUUUAUCGCCGAAGGAUGGGCUCGCGUCUGAUUAGAUAGUUGGCGGGGUAACGGCCCACCAAGUCGACGAUCAGUAGCCGGACUGAGAGGUUGAACGGCCACAUUGGGACUGAGAUACGGCCCAGACUCCUACGGGAGGCAGCAGUGGGGAAUAUUGGGCAAAUGGGGGCAACCCUGACCCAGCAACGCCGCGUGAAGGAAGAAGGCUUUCGGGUUGUAAACUUCUUUGACGAGGGACGAUAGUGACGGUACCUCGAAAACAAGCCACGGCUAACUACGUGCCAGCCGCCGC